CGGGGGCGAAGUUUGGCUCCCGUAGGAGUCCGGACGAAGUCUUCUGCGGUCAAAGUCGGGGGCGAAGUCCGGCUCCCGUAGGAGUCCGGACGAAGUCUACCUGUAAUCAAAGUCGGGGGCAAAGUCCGACUCCCGUAGGAGUCCGGAUGGUGUCUACCUGCAAUCAGAGUCGGGGGCGAAGUCCGGCUCCCAUAGGAGUCCGGACGAAGUCUUCUUGCGGUUGAAAUCGGGGGUGAAGUCCGGCUCCCAUAGGAGUCCGGACGAAGUCUUCUUGCGAU
Molecule: long non-coding RNA, 278 nt
Filed under: Elaeis guineensis (African oil palm)
Lineage: Eukaryota; Viridiplantae; Streptophyta; Magnoliopsida; Arecales; Arecaceae
Description: long non-coding RNA (EGUI_LNC067365)
Source: RNAcentral